GUCAGAUCUGAAUGUCCACGCACGCAUUCAAACCACCCAUAGGAAAGCAUUACUCAAUGCUUUCCUAUGGACGUCCAGCGUCUUCUCACUGUGAUUUUCACAGUGAGAAUUGCGGAAGCGCCUCUAAUGGCUAUCAGUGAGACAGCCACUAGAGGCUGGAUUAACCCUAAAAUGAGCAUGCAUAUCAAAAAGCCUCAGUGCGUCAAUCAGCAUCCCCUCGAGAGAGGCAUCGAGUCAUU
Non-coding RNA from Pelobates cultripes (western spadefoot toad), 239 nucleotides. Lineage: Eukaryota; Metazoa; Chordata; Amphibia; Anura; Pelobatidae. The record is from the annotation of a GenBank genome assembly.